This 420-nucleotide long non-coding RNA is filed under the name Mytilus galloprovincialis (Mediterranean mussel). The record is from RNAcentral. Lineage: Eukaryota; Metazoa; Mollusca; Bivalvia; Mytilida; Mytilidae.
UAUUGUUAUGAUAUUGUAAUUAUUGUAUUUAUUUAUGUUGGCCUGAUUUGUGUUGUGUGGCCUGAUAGUUGUUUACAGAAUAAUCUUAGAACUGUGCAGUUUAGAAAUCACUGGAACAAUUACAGAAUGAUUGGAACUUUCCAGAAUGAUCCUAAUAAAAGAUGCGUUAUAUAAACUUCUACAUUUUACUAGAAACUUCUGUUGUAACUUUCUAGGAUGUUCCAUUAUAGACUGUUCUAGAAUCUUCCAUGACAACUAUAUAUAUAUACAGACACUAAAGUUAAACACUCACUCUUGGACUUGGACUUAGACAUCGAUAGACAUUAGCAUUCACAGCAUUUGGAUUGACACUUUUAUUCUACAAACAACAUCAUACUGGAUUGUGACCUUAGUAGUGAACGUAAUAUUCAGAUUGGAUUC